UGUAAUGGAUGAUGUGAAAACAUGCAAAUACAACCAUGUAUUAGGGGGUCUUAAAAAGAAGAAUAAGAAGAAGAAGACAGCACCGACAUAAUCUUGAAAGCUUCUUGCAGCAAGCUCGACCCUCAAGAGCAUGGGUUGGCUUUUCUUGGUGUUUUCUCACUAAAAUAUACACACAGGAAGAGAGGAAGAGGGCAAGGAAGUUGUCACUUGUCACUUGUCACUUGUUUGGUCUCCAAGAUUCCUCAUUUUUCACUUGGUUUGGCUUGGCUUGCAUCCACUCUCUAGCUAGUGACUUACCUACUGCUGUAUAUCAUGCAAAGGGCAUUUUUUCAUGAGAUGGAUGGCAAGUCGUGAUAGAUGGAAAAUCAGUGUUAGAGAAAAUGGGUCAUAUUCUGUAUUGAAAUUUGAAAGUAAUAUUGGUCUCUACUAGAGGCCGCCCCUUGCAGUAUGGUAAGGGGUAUAUUGAAAAUCUUCAAUAUAUCGUGUUAGGGUUUCUUCGGAGGCGCUAUAAAGUUAUUGUAAAUGCUUGAUUU
Quercus robur (English oak) is the source of this 533-nucleotide long non-coding RNA. RefSeq lists it as uncharacterized. NCBI's taxonomy places the organism in Eukaryota, Viridiplantae, Streptophyta, Magnoliopsida, Fagales, Fagaceae. The record is from RefSeq and is a predicted model, not a curated record. The transcript has 2 exons.